GCGCAGUGCGCCUUGCUUUAGAGAAAAGGCUGAAUGGCCUUUCUUUUCUUUUUUUGGGAAGGAGGCAGUGCCUCUUCUUCUUAUUUUUCUCUUAAGGAUUUUUAUAGAAAAUCCUUGAUCUACGAAGAUCCAACGGUCCAAUCUUCAAUCCGAUUUUGGUAACGUGAUCUACGAAGCCCGAUCUAUGUAUCUACCGAUUGGUUUUAGGUAUUUUUGCAAACUCUUGGUCUUUGAGAUUUUAAAUUAAAUCUAAAGAUAUAUGAGUUUGAUUUUAUGUAUCCUUGGGAUUUGUUGUGUGGAGCUCGCUAAACACUCUCCAAGUGUUGGAUUUACAUUUGAUGGAAUUUUUGUGAUACAUUGCAAGGUGAUGUCUAGGAGACCUAGUGAUUAAUAUCAGCGCAGCCAGGUCUUAGUUGAAAUCUAAUUCAAAACACUUGAAUUAGACCUGAAAAUACAUCAAGGGUAUUUUAGUCAUUUCCAGAGUGCGAGAUUGUUCCUGUUAGUUGAAGAAUUGGCUAAGGCAAUUCGAUCGAUCAACUUUAUAAUCGAUCGAUCGAAGUUCAUCAGUCGAAUAAAAAUCGAUCGUGCGAGAAGUGAUCGAUCGAACCAGGACAAGCCCGACUGCGAUCGAGCGAAAUGUGAUCGAUCGACUUCAUAAUCAAUCGAUCGAAUAUUCCGUCUUCCAGAAAUUAAGAUAUUUCCAGAUCUUUUGAAUUCUUUAUGUAAUUCAAACAUAAGUUGGAUUUUGUGGACAGAAAUGGACGCCGACCAGCUCUGUUUGUGCGGCUAGAAUUAACUCUUGAUGGUCUUUUGUAAAUCCAAUUCUCUAUAUAUAUGAGAUUAGGGAUUUAGGUUUAGACAUGCAUCUUCUGGGGUUUUCGGAUUUUCUCAGGUGUAUCAACUUAAUUUCUUGUAUUUCUAGUUUACUUUGAUGCUACUCUCUGGACCGAAAUCCAGAGAGCUUGUUUCCUUUGUUGUUUUUCCAUUAAAUUUCAUGUUCUAGCUUAGGUUUAUUUUAUUUCCUUG
Alnus glutinosa is the source of this 1026-nucleotide long non-coding RNA. RefSeq lists it as uncharacterized. The transcript has 3 exons. Lineage: Eukaryota; Viridiplantae; Streptophyta; Magnoliopsida; Fagales; Betulaceae. The record is from RefSeq and is a predicted model, not a curated record.